AUAACGCUUAAAAAUGGGAGGAAAUGGGGCGGGCGAGGUGAUCGUGGGAGGCAGUCUCAGUGCGGGCUGGGGGGUGGGACGUGCCGCGCGUUUUGUAUGGGGGGCAGGAGGAAGGCCGGCCCCAGAAAACAAAGGUGUCAGGGAAACGAAACGGGCCAAGCACAAACAAGGGAGCCCGCCAAUAUCUCCAAAGCAAGGUAAAGAAACAACAACAUGUCGCUGACCUGAAGAGAGAAUUUCUAUUUGGGAUAAGAUUCUCAUUCACAUCAAUGGGAUUGUUUCCGGCCCAAGGGGACAGGCCUUGCCCGGUUGAGUCUGUCAGCGACACAACACGUUAAAAUAGAAGCAGCAAAAAAUACGACUUGGAUGUAUUUUUCCAUGAUUUUUUUUUAAAUUCAGACCGUAGCGUGUCGUUGACAAAUCUUUUGUCUUUUUUCCAUACUCAUCUACUACUCCCCUUUGCGCAGUUCUUGAAGAUUGUCUCAUCAUCUCCUUUUCAUUUUGAAGUUGGCCUAAGUAAAUGCUAAAUGCAAAGAAGAUUAAACUAAUGACAAUGGGUACAGCAACCAGCCUCAUAUUUAUUUAUUUAUUUGACACAUUUUUAUACUGCCCAAGUUCUCUGGGCGGUUUACAGCAAAACAAUAAAAAGAUUAUAACAUUUCAACAAUUAAAAUUUAAAAUGUUAAAACUAUUAAAACAAUUAAAACAAUAUCUAAUUAAAAGCAUGAAUAACGAAGACAUUGAAGUGGUGGAUAGCUUCUGCCUUUUAGGAUCAACCCAUCAACAGUAAAGGAUCCAGCAGUCAAGAAAUAUGCCGCAGACUAGCACUUGAUAGGGUUGCAAUGAGGGCUUUGGAAAGGAUGUUUAAAUGUGUGUCUACACAAAUAUUAGAAUCGUUCGGACAAUGGUUUUUCCCAUGACACACUAUGGAUGUGAAAGCUAGACUUUGAAGAAGCAAGAUAGAACAAGUAUUGACACUUUUGAACUUUGGUGCUGGAGAAGAAUUUUGAAGAUACCAUGGACAGCCAGGAAAACAAACAAAUUGAUCCUAGAACAAAUCAGUCCAGAACUUUCACUCAAGGCACAAAUCACCAGCCUCAAACUAUCAUACUUUGGACACAUUAUGCAAAGAUCCAGCUCCCUUGAGAAGUCCACAAUGCUGGGAAGAGUUGAAGGAAAGAGAAGAGAUCGACCAGCAGCGAGGUGGAUGGACUCGAUCACGACAGCAAUGAAUGCAUCACUGAGAGAUCUGAAAGGCCAAAUUGAAGACAAAUCAUCCUAGAGAGAAUCUAUGUGGUCGCUAAGAGUCAACACCUACUUGAUGGCACUUAAUCAAUCAAUCAAUCAAUCAAGAGCUUUUGGCUGAUAUGGAGCACAAUAAUUGACACAUGAGAGGAAAACAUCAAGGAGAGAAGUAACACAAACAAAAGGGUCCAUAUUGGCGGUAGAAGGGCAUUUCAUAAGGUGUAAGAAUCAAGAAGCAAUGUUUAGAGAGCAGCAGCCACCCCAUAUUAGUGUAAAGGAUGAGAUGAAAGAAGCUAUGAGAUAUAUUGGUCACUGAAAAGGUCUCACCAAGAACAAUAGGGGAAAAAAUCGUUCAAGACAAAGAAUGAAGAUGCUGGCCCAUACUAGGUUAUAAGGUUUUUCUUUCACGUUGUUUUCGGAGUGAGGGAGUGGGCAAGUUUUAGAUUUUUUAAUUUUUAUUUUGGGUUUAUAGGCUGUAACUGACCCAUAUAAUGACAGAUCAUUCUACUGUUGUUUUGUAGAUGAAUAAUCCGCAUGUUACCCAUAACAUCUAUAAACAGAAAUAAUGUGUAUCAGUGCAGAGAUAUGAAGAAUGAAAAAUCCCUGAUUUGGCAACCUGUCUCAUAAGGACAUUACAAUUUUUGGCCUUAUGCUACACUCCUAAACAUACUGGCUGACAUCCUGACAAAAUUACUUGAUGGAUGUUCCACUGAAAUUAAUAGAACAAUGUAAUUAGGCCUAUUAAUUUCAAUGUGACAUCCAUCAAGUCAUUUAGUCAGGAUGUCAGACCCUUUCUUGAAAUUAUUUCCCAGUUAAAGAAUCUCCAAAUAAGUGUGCUUAGGGAUGGAAUGUACACUUAAGAGGGGAAAGUACAUAAAAUGAGUCAACAGGAAUCACAGGGGAAAUGUGGGUGCUUGGGGCAGUUCCUCUUCAUUCCAUUCACCUGCUUAGAAUAUUUUGCAUUUCAGUUAUGAGCUAUAUCUAAUUUGUAUACUGCCUCAAACUAGCGGGAGGCAGAAAGGGUGGCGCAGCCUCCUUCUCUGGCCCGCCUGCCAGCCAAAAGGCAGGAACUCCGGCGGGGGCGAGAAGCUAUGGGGGGCGGUGGAGAGGGCAGCACAGCCUCCCUCUCUGGCCCACCUGCUGGCCACAAGGCAGGAGCACCGGUUGGGCGAGGGGAACGACAGGGGCAGGGGGAUGGGGGAGAACUAGAGGCACAGAUGCUCUGCGCCCAGCCCAGCUAGUAUAACUUUAAUUAUAUUCAUUAUAUUUUGUUCCUAUUGCUGUAAUAUUGUGUUAUUUAAAAGGACUAUAGGUCACUUAAGGUGCUUACUCUAGGCUUGCCAUGCAUUAUGUUAUAUAACUCCAAACUGUUAAGACAUGUAAAUUAGAUCUGUCAGUUGUGGUUAUUAACUCUACUAAUAAAGGCACUUUGGAAUGGUCAUGAAGCUGAAAGUUUACAAAACUUGGGGUAUCAUCUUAAUUUUCUUUUCAGGCUUUGUGGAGCAAUUAAGUUUAAAUUGUUUAAGCAAACUCAUAUGAGGUGGGGGGAGGUCAACAUGUAAUAACGGAUUUGGGACAUACUCUCCCACUCUGAAAAGAAGGAAAUAAUAUCUGGUUAAAGGAAAACCGCAUAUGCAACCAAUAUAGAUGCUACAGAAAUGCACCACAUGCUUGGAAACUUUUUUCCAAGACUUGGGAUGAAAGUUAUUGUAAUACUGUAUGUAGUUUUCCUUUUUAGCAGCCAUAGCAGUGAACUUUGUUUAAAAAUUUGUAUCUGUGACACCUAGAUCAGGGAUGUUCUCAAACAUUUCCUAGAAUGACUCACAAAGCAAUGUUGCCUUGAUUUGAGAUAGUUUUGACAUGGGACAUUAAAAAACACCUUGGACCAUC
Long non-coding RNA from Hemicordylus capensis (graceful crag lizard), 3135 nucleotides. RefSeq lists it as uncharacterized. The record is from RefSeq and is a predicted model, not a curated record. The transcript has 2 exons. NCBI's taxonomy places the organism in Eukaryota, Metazoa, Chordata, Lepidosauria, Squamata, Cordylidae.